GACGAACGCUGGCGGCGUGCUUAACACAUGCAAGUCGAACGGAAAGGCCCUGCUUUUGUGGGGUGCUCGAGUGGCGAACGGGUGAGUAACACGUGAGUAACCUGCCCUUUACUUUGGGAUAACUUCAGGAAACUGGGGCUAAUACCGGAUAGGAGCUCCUGCUGCAUGGUGGGGGUUGGAAAGUUUCGGCGGUUGGGGAUGGACUCGCGGCUUAUCAGCUUGUUGGUGGGGUAGUGGCUUACCAAGGCUUUGACGGGUAGCCGGCCUGAGAGGGUGACCGGCCACAUUGGGACUGAGAUACGGCCCAGACUCAUACGGGAGGCAGCAGUGGGGAAUAGUGCACAAUGGGCGGAAGCCUGAUGCAGCAACGCCGCGUGCGGGAUGACGGCCUUCGGGUUGUAAACCGCUUGCGACUGUGACGAAGAGUGAGUGACGGUAAUGGGUAAAGAAGCACCGGCUAACUACGUG
This 468-nucleotide ribosomal RNA is filed under the name uncultured bacterium. Its description in RNAcentral is "partial 16S ribosomal RNA". It matches the Rfam family "Bacterial small subunit ribosomal RNA", at positions 28 to 507 of the family's 1533-position model. The record is from RNAcentral.